This 1402-nucleotide long non-coding RNA is filed under the name Trifolium pratense (red clover). Its description in RNAcentral is "long non-coding RNA (TPRA_LNC007121)". The record is from RNAcentral. Lineage: Eukaryota; Viridiplantae; Streptophyta; Magnoliopsida; Fabales; Fabaceae.
AAUUAAUGAUCAACUAUUAUUUUUGCAGUCUCUUUGCAUCAUUGAUAACAUCUUCAACCAUAUGGGUAGCCCACUCCUCCUUCACCUCAUCUAGCUUCUCUUUAGAGUAUGUAGAAUGUCUAUGGCGAGAAAAAUACUUCAAAUAUAAAAGUAACACAAAAUUGAGUCAGAAUUGAAUUACACUACAUUUUAUAUACCUAGCUAUAUGUAAAAAUAUGAAAUAAUAAUAAUAAUAAUUAAAAUAACGUACAUUAUCAGGAAUCUUAUUUGGAUAUUCCAUGAUAACUUCUUUCAUAAAUCUCAUGAUAAAAUAUCCGCAGUCAAUAGUAUUUCUUUGACGAGGACACCGUAAAAAAACACAUUUGCAAAGAUCAAUUUUAAUUUACACUACAUAACUAUUAUUUACAGUUUGUUAACUGAACCAUGUACUUAAAUUCACCCGUUAACCAAACUGCACCAUGGUUAUUUGUUACUCACAAAUUUUGCAGCACUCACCAUCAACCCCUUCCCCAAUACAACGAAAGUAAUAAACCACCCUCACUCACAGGUAUGUGGCUCACUCAUGGAAUCACGAAACAAUCCACUCUUACGGGCCUAUUUCAUCGAUUCAUUAAAAAAAUUUAACCCCACCCAAUAAUACACUUAACCAAAAUAAAAUAAAAAAUAAUAAUAAAAUAAUAGCUUCUCAAGCUAUGGCGGCGAGGCAGAGUAUUUGUUUUCCUUUUAUCAUCAAAGACCAGCUUCAGUUUAUCAAAAAAAAUAUUAAAAAAUCAAAGACCAGAUUCAUAUACAUGAGGUGUAGGGUACUGUAUUUGUUUUCGCUGAAACAAGGACCACUUUUACUUUUUAUAUUCGUUAAGUAAUGGUUCUGUUUGGUUAUUUUUAAUCUACAACUGGUUCAACAGUUUUUUCAACAGUUUAAAAAACUGUUCGGUUCAGUUCAAAUUAAAUGGUUGAUGGUUCAGUUCGGUUUUAAAGAAUUGAAAUACAGUUUGGUUCGGUUCACAUACAGUUUUGGUUAAAAACCAAACUUUGGCCANNNNNNNNNNNNNNNNNNNNNNNNNNNNNNNNNNNNNNNNNNUAUUUGAAUUAAUACUAUUCAAACUUUCCUGACUUUAUUCUAAUUCAUUGUUAGUUCAUACUUCAAUGACACUUAGGUGGGGUCUAGAGUGGGAUAAAGAUCAAAGGUAUGGUAAGCUUAUUUUUGAGUUGGAUGCUGGACUUGUUGUGAACAGCCUCCAUGGAAGAUUAAAUUUAGUUGAAUUAGAUCAUGUAAUUCAAGACUGUUUGGAUUUGUUGUCUAAAUCCAACUUCUAGAAUAUAUAUUUACUACUAUAAGGCAUCUAAUUUCAAUCAUAUACUAGUGUGGUUCAUCUUAGGAGAACUAUGAAUGCUGCUGCAC